This 688-nucleotide small RNA is filed under the name Pan troglodytes (chimpanzee). RNAcentral's name for it is "processed transcript". The record is from RNAcentral. Lineage: Eukaryota; Metazoa; Chordata; Mammalia; Primates; Hominidae.
GUGUUCAAAAAUAUUACUGUAAUACAAGAACCAGGCAUGGUGGUAUUAGAAUGGCUGGCAAACCCUUCUAAUGAUAUGUAUGCAGAUACAGUAACAACUGUGAUAUUGGAAGUUCAGUCAAAUCCCAAAAUAAGAAAAGGUGCAGUACAGAAGGUUUCUAAAAAAUUAGAAAUGCACGUUUACAGCAAGAGGUUGGAGAUCAUGCUCCAGUAAGUUUUUCACCCUUUAUUUCUCAACAAGACAGUGACAGCGGCCGGAAGGAGCCCUGGAUUCGGCUCUGACUCCUUCAAGGACUGGGGCGUGGCUCUGGCCAGGCCACUGCCAUGCUCGGAGGCCUGCUUCUCUGUUAGGAAAGAGAGGGGCUGGAACCGUUCCCUGCCAGCUCUGCACUCACCUGUGACCUGCUAGGGACAUAUUUGGAGAAGACUGUGUAAGUGUAAAGGAUGACUCUAUUCUUAGCGUCACAGUGGACGGGAAAACUGCCAACCUUAACUUGGAGACACGGACUGUAGAAUGUGAAGAGGGAAGUGAAGACGAUGAAUCCCUCCGAGAAAUGGUGGAGCUGGCUGCACAGAGACUGUACGAGGCCCUGACGCCAGUUCACUGAGACUGUGCCUGUAUAUGGACUUUGAAAAAAUACUUGACUCUACUUCUGUUACCUAAAAUAAAAUGCAUUCGUUUCUCUGGG